Non-coding RNA from Cyanistes caeruleus (blue tit), 1104 nucleotides. The record is from RefSeq and is a predicted model, not a curated record. NCBI's taxonomy places the organism in Eukaryota, Metazoa, Chordata, Aves, Passeriformes, Paridae.
UAUGGGAAAAGGAAUAACAGUUCUUUACCAUAAUAUAUCUGUAUAACAAGGCAGACCAACAGCCACGAGGGCAGCAGAAGGAGCAGCAGCACAAGCCCAGUGACGCCUUCUCUGGGCCGCAGGCACUUUCCCCUCCGGUGCAGUUCCGGGCACAGCCGGCAGGGGGCGCUGGUGGCUCCCGGCCAGGCAGGGCGGGUGCGAUGAUUCCCCCACGCCGGCAGGGGGCGCUGUGGCGCGGGCCCGGCCGCCUCUCCCCACACGGGCAAUGGCCGCGCUGCCAGCGGGAGAGACAGAGCGGGGCUUCAAACACACAAACUCACAGGGGGCAGCUGGUCCCAGUGCCCCUUCCGAUGGCUAAAUGGGCUGUAGCAAGAACUGCGAAGUAGCAGGCUGGAACUGCAGAGGUUGUUCCUUCACCAAAGAUGUUAUGGUUUUCUCCUAAUUCUUCAUGUCUGCUUUGCCUCGAAACUUUUGAGAAAAAUAUCAAAUAGACACCAGGCCAGUAUAAGUAAGAUGUGUACUGACUGUUUCCUGAAGGAAAUAUUACAGUUCUCAAUUCCUGUUUGCUUUUUGGAGACUAGGUAUUCUCCUGAAGUGGCAAUUUCUCCUUUGAACUCCAGAGAAGUACCCCCUUGAUUCUGAGUAUUUCAGGCUGCUUAGGUAAGCGAAGUCACUUCUAAACCCACUCAAUAGCUUCAUGGCAGUUUGUAGGCUUUAAAGUGAUAUCAACAAGAAACUGUUUUAAAAGUAUACACUGUGUACUCUACAUUACUGACACCAGAGAAGUUGAAGUGCUGUCAUUCAUGGUGUUUUGUUACUUCAUAAUGUUCACAGUUCCCUCCCUGUAUCUAACCCUGCUGCAUGGCUCCUGCUUCAACACAUGCUAAAUGGAUUACACCAGAAGACCCUACACCUCAUACAGUUUGGAGGUAGUAUAUUACUGUGAGAAGCGAAGAUCACUUCUAAAAAAUUUUAAAAGUGUAAUAAUAGAUAAAAGGGACAAUAACAGCACUGAGUGCAUGGCCAUAGCCAGAGGAAUGCCGGCUAAUCAUAGCAGCUCUUAUAUACUUAUUCUAUUGCAUUGAUCAAAUACAUAUUCAUAAA